AGGAGGUCUUGCCUGCCCAGUGACAGUUAAACGGCCGCGGUAUUUUGACCGUGCGAAGGUAGCGCAAUCACUUGUCUUUUAAAUGAAGACCUGUAUGAAUGGUGGAACGAGGGCUUAACUGUCUCCCCCUUCAAAUCAAUGAAAUUGAUCUGCCCGUGCAGAAGCGGACAUACUUAUAUAAGACGAGAAGACCCUUUGGAGCUUAAGAUGUUAGAUCAACUAUGUCAAGAAUCACUAAACAAAUUAAACUAAAUAGCAACUGAUCCCUAUCUUCGGUUGGGGCGACCACGGGAGACAAUAAAGCUCCCAUGCGGAAUGGGGCCACCCCCUAAAACUAAGAAAGACAUUUCUAAGUCGCAGAAUAUCUGACCACCAAAGAAUCCGGGUAAUUUACCGAUUCAACGGAACCAAAGUUACCCUAAGGAUAACAGCGCAAUCCCCUUCAAGAGUUCCAUAUCGACAGGGGGUUUAACGACCUCGAUGUUGGAUCAGACAUCCUAAUGGUGCAGCCGCUAUUAAAGGUUCGUUUGUUCAACGAUUAAGUCCUACGUGA
This 553-nucleotide ribosomal RNA is filed under the name Hemibagrus nemurus (Asian redtail catfish). RNAcentral's name for it is "partial 16S ribosomal RNA". It matches the Rfam family "Bacterial large subunit ribosomal RNA", at positions 1847 to 2603 of the family's 2925-position model. The record is from RNAcentral. Lineage: Eukaryota; Metazoa; Chordata; Actinopteri; Siluriformes; Bagridae.